RNAcentral lists this long non-coding RNA (214 nucleotides) under Zostera marina. Its description in RNAcentral is "long non-coding RNA (ZMAR_LNC005154)". Lineage: Eukaryota; Viridiplantae; Streptophyta; Magnoliopsida; Alismatales; Zosteraceae. The record is from RNAcentral.
UCUUCACAUCGACUUCUUCGCUUCGACUUCCAGCCUCUUCGCUUCGACUUCCAGCGUGCGUGAGGCUUCGACUUUAGCCUUGGAGGUGCAGCUUUCUGGGGUCCGACUUUUGUUAUCGGGCUCUACUGAGGCUGCACUGGGUUCGACUUCCUUGGGGUCCGACUUUUCUGAAAGUCGGUCCCUUUCGAAGUUGUUCCCCAUUGGACUGUGGUCC